AAAAAAUAAAAAAUAAAAAUAAAAUGUAUAAGCAUAUAUUAGUUUAUAUCUUAAUCUCUUUUGAAUCUGUCAUUAUGACUCCUUUUCCCUUUCUAAUGUUACUAGUAUCUCUAUUUUUUCCUUGAACAGUCUUGCUGGAAGUUUGCCUAUUUUUAACUAGUCUUUUUAAGAACUGACUCUUGGUUUUGUUGAUUAUCUGUAUGUUUGUUUUCUAUUUCAUUAAUUUAUACUCUAUUUUUACUUCAUUUCUCCCAUUUCCUUUGGUUUACUCUGUUCUUAUUCUAACAUGAGUCUUAGCUCAUUAAUUUCUAGCCUUUCUUCUUUUUUAAUACUGCAUUUAAAACUAUAUAAUUCCGUUCAUGUUCUGCAUUCACUGAAUCCCUGUUUUUGUUGGGGUAUAAUUGACAUGCAACAUUAUAUUAGUUUUAGUUGUCCAACAUAACUAUUCAAUAUUUGUAUAUACAAUAAAUGAAAUGACUACCACAAUAAGCCUGUUUAACAUCUAUCGCCCCAUGAAUCCGUUUUCAUAUUUAACAUUUUCAUCAUCAUCCAGUUUAAGGUUUUUAAAUUUCUGUUUGGAUUUUUUUCUUCACCCAAGUUAUUUUGAAGUAUUUUAAAACUUCCAAAUAUGAGGAUUUUUUUUCAUUUUAUUUAUUUGCAUUGUAGUCAGAGAAUGUAUGAGACAGUCUCUGAACUUGGUUAAGAUUUGUUUCAUGCCCUCUGGUACAUGAUCAGUUUUUAUAAUGGUUCUCUGUGUGCUUGAAGAGAAUGUGUAUGCUGUAUUAGUGAGUGGCUGUGUAGUGUUUAUCUCCAUGAGGUCAAUCUUAUUUUAUUAUGUUAUUCAGUUUGUCUACAUUUCUGUUGAUUUUGGCUACUUGUUCUAUCAGUUACUGAAAGAGACGUUGAAAUUCUGCCACUGAUAAUUUGUCAAUUUCUUUGUGUACUUCUGUCAGUUUUUGCUUUAUGUUUAGAUAGUUUCUAUUGCAAAAAAUCUUUUUUGUCUUAAAGUUACUUUGUCUGAUGUUAACAGGUAUCCUAUCCUAUCUUUCCUUUGUUUAGUAUUUGCCUGGCUUACCUUUCACUAUCUUUCACUUUCAUCUUUUCUGUGUCCUUAAUGAGGUGUAUAACUUUUUUUUUUUAAGUUUAGUGUUUUCUUUAAUUCUAAUCUGAUGAUACAUCACUUAUACAAGGUAUGCUAUUUAUAUUUUUGUGAUUAUUGAUAUAUUCAUUUAUAAUUUUGGGGACUUUUUGUUCUGUCUCACUUUUUCUAGUUUCCUUUUUUCAUUGAUUACACUUUUAAAAUAAACUUUUAUUUUGGAAUAAUUUUAAAUUUACAGAAAAGUUGCAAAGACAAGACAGAGAUUUGCUAUUAUCCUUUAUCCAGCUUCCCCUAAUAUUAACAUCUUUUGUAAUCCUGGUACAUUUGUCAAAAGUAAGAAAUAACAUUGGUACAAUACUAUUAACUGCAGACUAUUCAGAUUUCCUCAGUUUUUCCACUAAUGUCCUUUUUCUGUUCCAGGAUCCAAUCCAGGAAUCCAGAUUGCAUUUAGUCUCUUUUUAAAAAUAUAAACUUUCAUUUAAUACUUUGAAAAAGCUAUAAGAAGUUUGAGAAGGUCCUUCUAAUUAUUUAAUAAAUAAUUUUAAAGUUUUUCAAUCAUUUCUGGGAUACAAACAAAUUUAAUAAAUGUAAUAGACAAAUCUAUUUUAUAUCACCCACACUGAACAAAAGUUAAUACAUUACAGGUCCGUGAUUCCAUAUUUGCAAUUGUUAAAAAGUGUAUAUAUAUGUACAUAAAACCUUGAAAACCAAAAGUUUUUUCAUAGCUUAUCUAGUGAUAAAACUUUAUUUAUAAUCUUUGACUAUUUGUAGUUUUAAUGUGACUAUCUUACUGUUUAUGGAGUACACUGCAGCUGUAUCAAUGUUGGGUUACAGGUGCUACUCCAAAUCUCACUGAUAGUUGAUUACAUUAUUUUGUUGCUGUUUUUCUUAUUCCAUUUUUUUUCCCUCACUACUAGUUAUAGUUUCUAUUUCUAGUCUUACUGUGAUUAUAUAAAGCCCUAUUUUAAUCUUAAAAAUUAGAUAUCAAUUUUUGGAUAGAAUUUUUUUUUUUUUUGGUAAUUUUUUUAUAGAUUUCACUGUAGUGCAUCAAUUUAUUUGUUCCUUACUCCUCUUGCAUCUCAGAUCUUCUGACUGGGAUCAUUUCCUUCUUUCUAAAGUAUGGCCCUUGAAAGUUCAUUUAGUGUCAGUGUAUCAGUGGCAACUUUUCUCAGAUAUACUUAACCAAAAAUAUCUUUAUUUUGCCCUCAUUCUUGAAAGAUAGUUUUGCUGGAUAUACUCCUUUGUUGACAGGAAUUUUCUCCAAACAUUUUGAAGAUUUUGUUCCACCUAAUUCUGGCUUCAAUUGUUACUGUUAAGCCUCUACUGUUAAUCCAGUUGUCAUUCCAUUAUAGGUGACCUAUCUCCAACUGCAUUUUUUUGGGAAGUUUUAAAUUUUAUUUAUGUUUUUAUACAGCAGGUUCUUAUUAGUUAUCCAUUUUAUACAUAUUAGUGUAUAUAUGUCAAUCCCAUUAUCCCAAUUCAUCAUACAACCACCCCCCACCGGCCACUUUCCCCUCUUGGUGUCCAUACGUUGUUCUCUAUGUCUCUGUCUCUAUUUCUGCUCUGCAAACUAGUUCAUCUGUACCAUUUUUCUAGGUUCCACAUAUAUGCGUUAAUAUACAAUAUUUGUUUUUCUCUUUCUGACUUACCUCACUCUGUAUGACAGUCUCUACAUCCAUCCACAUCUCUACAAAUGACCCAGUUUCGUUCCUUUUUAUGGCUGAGUAAUAUUCCACUGUAUAUAUGUAUCACAUCUUCUCUAUCCAUUCAUCUAUCGAUGGGCAUUUAGGUUACUUCCAUGUCCCAGCUAUUGUAAACAGUGCUGCAGUGAACAUUGGGGUGCAUGUGUCUUUUUGAAUUAUGGUUUUCUCAGGAUAUAUGCCCAGUAGUGGGAUUGCUGGGUCAUAUGGUAAUUCUAUUUUUAGUUUUUUAAGGAACCUCCACACUGUUCUCCAUAGUGGCUGUAUCAAUUUACAUUCCCACCAACAGUGCAAGAGGGUUCCCUUUUCUCCGCAUCCUCUCCAGCAUUUGUUGUUUGUAGAUUUUCUGAUGAUGCCCAUUCAAACUGGUGUGAGGUGCUACCUCAUUGUAGUUUUGAUUUGCAUUUCUCUAAUAAUUAGUGAUGUUGAGCAGCUUUUCAUAUGCCUCUUGGCCAUCUGUAUGUCUGCUUCGGAGAAAUGUCUGCUUAGGUCUUCUGCCCAUUUUUUGAUUGGGUUGUUUGUUUUUUUAAUAUUAAGCUGCAUGAGCUGUUUAUAUAUUUUGGAGAUGAAUCCUUUGUCCAUUGAUUCAUUUGCAGAUAUUUUCUCCCAUUCUGUGGGUUGUCUUUUCAUCUUGUGUAUGGUUUCCUUUGCUGUGCAAAAGCUUUUAAGUUUCAUUAGGUCCCAUUUGUUUAUUUUUGUUUUUAUUUCCAUUACUCUAGGAGGUGGGAACAAAGGAGAUCUUGCUGUGAUUUAUGUCAAAGAGUGUUCUUCCUAUGUUUUCCUCUAAGAGUUUUAUACUGUCCGGUCUUACAUUUAGGUCUUUAAUCCAUUUUGAGUUUAUUUUUGUGUAUGGUGUUAGGGAGUGUUCUAAUUUCAUUCUUUUACAUGUAGCUGUCCAGUUUUCCCAGCACCACUUAUUGAAGAGACUGUCUUUUCUCCAUUGUAUAUCCUUGCCUCCUUUGUCAUAGAUUAGUUGACCAUAGGUGCAUGGGUUUAUCUCUGGGCUUUCUAUCUUGUUCCAUUCAUCUAUAUUUCUGUUUUUGUGCCAGUACCAUACUGUCUUGAUUACUGUAGCUUUGUAGUAUAGUCUGAAGUCAGGGAGCCUGAUUCUUCCAGCUCCGCUUUUUUCCCUCAAGACUGCUUUGGCUGUUCAGGAUCUUUUGUGUCUCCAUACAAACUUUAAGAUUUGUUUUUUUCUAGUUCUGUAAAACUGCCAUUGGUAAUUUGAUAGGGAUUGCAUUGAAUCUGUAGAUUGCUUUGGGUAGUACAGUCAUUUUCACAAUAUUGAUUCUUCUAAUCCAAGAACAUGGUAUAUCUCUCCAUCUGUUUGUAUCAUCUUUAAUUUCUUUCAUCAGUGUCUUAUAUCUGCAUACAGGUCUUUUGUCUCCCAAGUAGGUUUAUUCCUAGGUAUUUUAUUCUUUUUUUUGCAAUGGUGAAUGGGAGUGUUUCCUUAAUUUCUCUUUCAGAUUUUUCAUCAUUAGUGUAUAGGAACGCAAGAGAUUUCUGUGCAUUUAUUUUGUGUUCUGCACCUUUACCACAUUCAUUGAUUAGCUCUAAUAGUUUUCUGGUGGCAUCUUUAGGAUUCUCUACGUAUAGUAUCAUGUCAUCUGCAAACAGUGACAGUUUUACUUCUUCCUUUCCAAUUUUUAUUCCUUUUAUUUCUUUUUCUUUUCUGAUUGCCAUGGCUAGGACUUCCAAAACUAUGUUGAAUAAUAGUGGCGAGAGUGGACAUCCUUGUCUUGUUCCUGAUCUUAGAGGAAAUGCUUUCAGUUUAUCACCAUUGAGAAUGAUGUUUGCUGUGGGUUUGUUGUAUAUGGCCUUUAUUGUGUUGAGGUAGGCUCCCUCUAUGCCCACUUUCUGGAGAGUUUUUUCAUAAAUGGGUGUUGAAUUUUGUCCGGAGUUUUUCUGCAUCUAUUGAGAUGAUCAUAUGGUUUCUAUUCUUCAGUUUGUUAAUAUGGUGUAUCACAUUGAUUGGUUUGUAUAUAUUAAAGAAUCCUUCCAUCCCUGGGAUAAAUUCCACUUGAUCAUGGUGUAUGAUCCUUUCAAUAUAUUGUUAGAUUCUGUUUGCUAGUAUUUUGUUGAGGAUUUUUACAUCUAAAUUCAUCAAAGAUAUUGGUCUGUAAUUUUCUUUUUUUGUAGUAUCUUUGUCUGGUUUUCAUAUCAGGGUGAUGGUGGCCUCAUAGAAUGAGUUUGGGAGUGUUCCUUCCUCUGCAGUUUUUUGGAAGAGUUUCAGAAGGAUGGGUGUUAGCUCUUCUCUAAAUGUUUGAUAGAAUUCACCUGUGAAGCCAUCUGGUCCUGGACUUUUGUUUGUUGGAAGAUUUUUAAUCACAGUUUCAAUUUCAUUACUUGUGAUUGGUCUGUUCAUAUUUUCUAUUUCUUCCUGGUUCAAUCUUGGAAGGUUAUACCUUUCUAAGAAUUUGUCCAUUUCUUCCAGGUUGUCCAUUUUAUUGGCAUAGAGUUGCUUGUAGUAGUCUCUUAGAAUGCUUUGUAUUUCUGUGGUGUCUGUUCUAACUUCUCCUUUUGCAUUUCUAAUUUUAUUGAUUUGAGUCCUCUCCCUCUUUUUCUUGAUGAGUCUGGGUAAUCGUUUAUCAAUUUUGUUUUAUCUUCUCAAAGAACCAGCUUUUAGUCUUAUUGAUCUUUGCUAUUGUUUUCUUUGUUUCUAUUUCAUUUAUUUCUGCUCUGAUCUUUAUGAUUUCUCUCCUUCUACUAACUUUGGGUUUUGUUUGUUCUUCUUUCUCUAGUUUGUUUAGGUGUAAGUUUAGAUUGUUUAUUUGAAAUUUUUCUUCUUUCUUGAGGUAGGCUUGUAUUGCUAUAAACUUCCCUCUUAGAACUGCUUUUACUGCAUCCCAUAGGUUUUCGAUCAACGUAUUUUCAUUGUCAUUUGUCUCUAGGUAUUUUUUGAUUUCCUCUUUGAUUUCUUCCGUGAUCUCUUGGUCAUUUAGUAGUGUGUUGUUUAGCCUCCAUGUGUUUGCAUUUUUUACAGACUUUUUUCCUGUAAUUGAUAUCUAGUCUCAUAGCGUUGUGGUCGGAAAAGAUAUUUGAUAUGAUUUCAAUUUUCUUAAAUUUACCAGUGCUUGAUUUGUGACCAAGGAUAUGAUCUAACCUUUGAAAUAUUCCAUGAGGACUUGAGAAGAAAGUGUAAUCUGCUGUUUUUGGAUGGAAUGUCAAAUAUCAAUUAAAUCUAUCUGGUCUGUUGUGUCAUUUAAAGCUUGUGUUUCCUUAUUAAUUUUCUGUCAGGAUGAUCUGUCGAUUGGUGUAAGUGAGGUGUUAGAGUCCCUCACUAUUAUUGAGUUACUGUCAAUUUCCUCUUCUAUAGCUGUUAGCAGUUGCCUUAUGUAUCAAGGUGCUCCUAUGUUGGGUGCAUAUAUAUUUAUAAUUGUUAUAUCUUCCUCUUGGAUUGAUCCCUUGAUCAUUAUGUAGUGUCCUUCCUUGUCUCUUGUAACAUUCUUUAUUUUAAAGUCUUUUUCUGAUAUGAGUAUUGCUACUCCAGCUUUCUUUUGAUUUCCAUUGGCAUGGAAUAUCUUUUUCCAUUCCCUCACUUUCAGUCUGUAUGUAUCCCUAGGUCUGAAGUAGGUUUCUUGUAGACAGCAUAUAUAUGGGUCUUGUUUUUGUAUCCAUUGAGCAAGCCUGUGUCUUUUGGUUGGAGCAUUUAAUCCAUUCAUGCUUAAGGUAAUUAUCGAUAUGUGUGUUCCUAUUACCAUGUUCUUAAUUGUUAUGGGUUUGUUUUUGUAGGUCCUUUUCUUCUCUUGUGUUUCCCAUUUAGAGAAGUUCCUUUAGCAUUUGUUGUAGAGCUGGUUUGGUGGUGCUGAAUUCUCUUAGGUUUUGCUUAUCUGUAAAGCUUUUGAGUUUUCUGUUGAAUCUGAAUGAGAUCCUUUCUGGUAGAGUAAUCUUGGUUGUAGGUUCUUCCCUUUCAUCACUUUAAGUAUAUCAUGCCACUCCCUUCUGGCUUGUAGAGUUUCUGCUGAGAAAUCAGCUAUUAACCUUAUGGGAGUUCCCUUGUAUGUUAUUUGUCGUGUUUCCCUUGUUGCUUUCAAUAAUUUUUCUUUGUCUUUAAUUUUUGUCAAUUUGAUUACUAUGUGUCUCGGUGUGUUUCUCCUUGGGUUUAUCCUGCCUGGGACUCUCUGUGCUUCCUGGACUUGGGUGGCUAUUUCCUUUCCCAUGUUAGGGAAGUUUUCGACUAUAAUCUCUGCAAAUAUUUUCUCGGGUCCUUUCUCUCUCUCUUCUCCUUCUGGGACCCCUAUAAUACGAAUGUUGUUACAUUUAAUGUUGUCCCAGAGGUCUCUUAGGCUGUCUUCAUUUUUUUCAUUCUUUUUUCUUUAUUCUGUUCUGUGGCAGUGAAUUCCACCAUUCUGUCUUCCAGGUCACUUAUCCAUUCUUCUGCCUCAGUUAUUCUCCUAUUGAUUCCCUCUAGUGUAUUUUUCAUUUCAGUUAUUGUAUUGUUCAUCUCUGUUUGUUUGUUCUUUAAUUCUUCUAGGCCUUUGUUAAACAUUUCUUGCAUCUUCUUGAUCUUUGCCUCCAUUCUUUUUACAAGGUCCUGUAUCAUCUUCACUAUCAUUAUUCUGAAUUCUUUUUCUGGAAGGUUGCCUAUCUCCACUUCAUUUAGUUGUUUUUCUGGGGUUUUAUCUUGUUCCUCAUCUGUUACAUAGCCCUCUGCCUUUUCAUCUUGAGUGUCUUUCUGUGAUUGCAGUUUUUGUUCCACAGGCUGCAGGAUUGUAGUUCUUGCUUCUGUGUCUGCCCUCUGGUGGAUGAGGCUAUCUGAGAGGCUUGCGCAAAUUUCCUGAUGGGAGGUACUGGUGGUGGGUAGAGCUGGGUGUUGCUCUGGUGGGCAGAGCUCAUUAAAACUUUAAUCUGCUUGGCUGUUGAUGGGUUGGACUGGGUCCCCUCCCUGAGGCGACCCAACACUGGAGCCUACCUGGCUCUUUGGUGGGGCUAAUGGAGGGCUCUCGGAGGGCUCACACCAAGGAGUACAUCCCAGAACUUCUGCCAUCAGUGUCCUUGUCCUCACGGUGAGCCAGCUGCCCCCCGCCUCUGCAGGAGACCCUCCAACACUAGCAGCCUUUAUUACAUUAUGGCCAAUUUCUUCAGAUACAUCUUCCAGUUCAUUAAUUCUCCACAGCUUUCAAAGGUAUCUAAUUGACUAUUUAAUACAUUUGCAUAGUCACCCUACUGGUCUCAGGUUUGAUUUGACAAUCAGCUCAUAGAACACUACAGGUUUAACCCAACUUCUACUUAAUUUAGCUUUGUAAAGAGUA
Long non-coding RNA from Orcinus orca (killer whale), 8051 nucleotides. RefSeq lists it as uncharacterized. The transcript has 2 exons. The record is from RefSeq and is a predicted model, not a curated record. NCBI's taxonomy places the organism in Eukaryota, Metazoa, Chordata, Mammalia, Artiodactyla, Delphinidae.